Molecule: ribosomal RNA, 465 nt
Filed under: uncultured bacterium
Lineage: Bacteria
Description: partial 16S ribosomal RNA
Rfam family: Bacterial small subunit ribosomal RNA
Source: RNAcentral
CCUACGGGAGGCAGCAGUGGGGAAUAUUGCGCAAUGGGCGAAAGAGUGACGCAGCGACGCCGCGUGAAUGACGAAGGCCUUCGGGUCGUAAAGUUCUUUCGACAGGGAAGAAAAUGCCUAUCAGUAACUGUGUAUGUAUUUACGGUACCUGUAUAAGCAGCCCCGGCUAACUCCGUGCCAGCAGCCGCGGUAAUACGGAGGGGGCGAGCGUUGUUCGGAGGGACUGGGCGUAAAGAGCACGUAGGCGGUGUUGUAAGUCAUUAGUCAAAGACUAGAGCUCAACUUUAGUAAGGCUAGUGAUACUAUAAUACUAGAGUAUCAGAGAGGAUUGCAGAAUUCCUGGUGUAGCGGUGAAAUGCGUAGAUAUCAGGAGGAAUACCGUUAGCGAAGGCGGCAAUCUGGCUGGAAACUGACGCUGAGGUGCGAAAGCGUGGGUAGCAAACAGGAUUAGAUACCCCAGUAGUC